This is a non-coding RNA of Acyrthosiphon pisum (pea aphid), 70 nucleotides long. The record is from Rfam. NCBI's taxonomy places the organism in Eukaryota, Metazoa, Arthropoda, Insecta, Hemiptera, Aphididae.
CCGUGUUCUGUGACUGACUCGGCUUGCGUCGGGCUGGCGGGCGCCCGCCGGUCCGUCACAGAACACGGGA